Long non-coding RNA from Sciurus carolinensis (gray squirrel), 323 nucleotides. RefSeq lists it as uncharacterized. The record is from RefSeq and is a predicted model, not a curated record. Lineage: Eukaryota; Metazoa; Chordata; Mammalia; Rodentia; Sciuridae. The transcript has 2 exons.
UGAUGACCAGGAUUCCAGGACGGUGUCUCACCUGGCAAGUUCACAAGAACAGGGACAUCCUCUCUGUGCCACCACAAAGGCAAGACAGCCCAGUGGAAGGCGGUGCUGCAGAUACCACACCCUAGAUCUGAGCCGACGAGGAUGGUGCAGAGGCAAGGCCAAAAUAAGAUGGGGGACAGAGGGUCAGCUCUUCACCUUCACAGUGACUGCGUGCCAGUUACACGUCUGAUUUCUGGAUUUUACUUCAUUAAUUCAUCACCAACCCUGAGGACCGUCUGCAUUUUAAAAAGUACUCCAGGGAAAUGAGUAUAGACCAAAGAGCA